RNAcentral lists this transfer RNA (74 nucleotides) under Dethiosulfovibrio marinus. RNAcentral's name for it is "tRNA-Gln". It matches the Rfam family "tRNA". Rfam says of the family: Transfer RNA (tRNA) molecules are approximately 80 nucleotides in length. Their secondary structure includes four short double-helical elements and three loops (D, anti-codon, and T loops). Further hydrogen bonds mediate the characteristic L-shaped molecular structure. tRNAs have two regions of fundamental functional importance: the anti-codon, which is responsible for specific mRNA codon recognition, and the 3' end, to which the tRNAs corresponding amino acid is attached (by aminoacyl-tRNA synthetases). tRNAs cope with the degeneracy of the genetic code in two manners: having more than one tRNA (with a specific anti-codon) for a particular amino acid; and 'wobble' base-pairing, i.e. permitting non-standard base-pairing at the 3rd anti-codon position. RNAcentral also lists the same sequence under 5 other names. The record is from RNAcentral. Lineage: Bacteria; Thermotogati; Synergistota; Synergistia; Synergistales; Dethiosulfovibrionaceae.
UGGGGAAUCGUCCAACGGCAGGACGCCUGACUCUGGAUCAGGUAAUCGGGGUUCGAAUCCCUGUUCCCCAGCCA